GGAGGUUGUGCCCUUGAGGCGUGGCUUCCGGAGCUAACGCGUUAAGUCGACCGCCUGGGGAGUACGGCCGCAAGGUUAAAACUCAAAUGAAUUGACGGGGGCCCGCACAAGCGGUGGAGCAUGUGGUUUAAUUCGAUGCAACGCGAAGAACCUUACCUGGCCUUGACAUCCAGAGAACUUAGCAGAGAUGCUUUGGUGCCUUCGGGAACUCUGAGACAGGUGCUGCAUGGCUGUCGUCAGCUCGUGUUGUGAAAUGUUGGGUUAAGUCCCGCAACGAGCGCAACCCUUAUCCUUUGUUGCCAGCGGCUCGGCCGGGAACUCAAAGGAGACUGCCGGUGAUAAACCGGAGGAAGGUGGGGAUGACGUCAAGUCAUCAUGGCCCUUACGGCCAGGGCUACACACGUGCUACAAUGGCGCAUACAAAGAGAAGCGACCUCGCGAGAGCAAGCGGACCUCAUAAAGUGCGUCGUAGUCCGGAUUGGAGUCUGCAACUCGACUCCAUGAAGUCGGAAUCGCUAGUAAUCGUAGAUCAGAAUGCUACGGUGAAUACGUUCCCGGGCCUUGUACACACCGCCCGUCACACCAUGGGAGUGGG
Molecule: ribosomal RNA, 595 nt
Filed under: Pantoea sp.
Lineage: Bacteria; Pseudomonadati; Pseudomonadota; Gammaproteobacteria; Enterobacterales; Erwiniaceae
Description: bacterial SSU rRNA
Rfam family: Bacterial small subunit ribosomal RNA
Source: RNAcentral